RNAcentral lists this long non-coding RNA (889 nucleotides) under Brassica napus (rape). RNAcentral's name for it is "long non-coding RNA (BNAP_LNC022708)". The record is from RNAcentral. Lineage: Eukaryota; Viridiplantae; Streptophyta; Magnoliopsida; Brassicales; Brassicaceae.
AGGACACAUUUAUUCGGAACUAUGAACCGAACCAUACCAAGCUGAAGAAAACAAAAUCAAAAGUGAAAGAAAUUUCAUAAAUAACCGAACAUAUCAUAUAUCUGUGGAACCAAAAUAUUGAAACCGAUCUGGGAGCCUAAAGGGUACCUGAAUUUAAAUAUAUAGAUUAUAUAAUUACAAAUAUCAAACAUAUUCAAUUUUUAAAUAACUGAAUAUCAUAAAAAUACUAUUUAAAACCCUAAUUACCGGUCAAAAAUUACCGAAUAUAUUUUUAUUCAAAAUAUUAAAAAAUAUUUGAAUUAUCUGAUAUUUUUAUCUUAACAAUCUGAAUUAUACGAUAUUUAAACUGAAAGACCUAAAUUAUAUAUUUUUGUUUUUGCAUAUUUGCCACUUCUCAACUUUGCUACUGAACUAAACCAAAAAAAAACUCAAUUGAAACCAAACCAAAUUUUGUAAAUAAUUGAACAGUUUCUAAAUUUGUAGAACUAAAAUACCAAAACCAAAAUACCGAACCAAAAAAUAACAAAAACCAAAAUACCAAACUGAAACAGAAUGCUCAGAAAUGAUAGUGUAUAUACAUUUAAAUGGUGCGAAGAAGGCAUUUUACUUUUAAAAAUUAUUUAACUCCUUUUAGUAGAAGUACAUAUAUGGUUUAUAAAUGAGAUAAGAUAUAACCAAUGUUUUACAUUCGAUAUGGACUCGCAGUCGAACCGCAAAAUCCAGUUGCCGUAUAUAAUUACGACUGAAUUAUGUUCUUCAUGUAGUAUUCUAUCAAAGAUUCUACCAACUAAUAUGUUUUCAUAAAAUUCUGAUUUAUUGAAAAGCUAUUAAUUAAAAAUUCAAUAAGACCCAAAACCCCGUUAUUAACCUGUGAACCAACACCGGCUCA